RNAcentral lists this ribosomal RNA (168 nucleotides) under Stutzerimonas stutzeri. Its description in RNAcentral is "Pseudomonas stutzeri partial 16S ribosomal RNA". It matches the Rfam family "Bacterial small subunit ribosomal RNA", at positions 117 to 282 of the family's 1533-position model. The record is from RNAcentral. Lineage: Bacteria; Pseudomonadati; Pseudomonadota; Gammaproteobacteria; Pseudomonadales; Pseudomonadaceae.
CUAGGAAUCUGCCUGGUAGUGGGGGGACAACGCUUUCGUAAGGGAACGCUAAUACCGCAUACGUUCCUACGGGAGAAAGUGGGGGAUCUUCGGACCUCACGCUAUCAGAUGAGCCUAGGUCGGAUUAGCUAGUUGGUGAGGUAAAGGGCUCACCAAGGCAGACGAUCC